CUGAAAUUGAAAUUGUAUAAACCAAUCAGCAAAUAUCACAGAGCCAAAGUCACAUGGGAUCAUAGUACUGGUCUAGUGUUGCUGUUAGACACAUCUACCACUGGCCAGCCUCCAAAUUCCUCACACAGAA
Molecule: small nucleolar RNA, 130 nt
Filed under: Castor canadensis (American beaver)
Lineage: Eukaryota; Metazoa; Chordata; Mammalia; Rodentia; Castoridae
Description: Small nucleolar RNA SNORA23 (ENSCCNG00000007485.1)
Rfam family: Small nucleolar RNA SNORA23
About the family: The members of this family belong to the H/ACA class of snoRNAs which are thought to guide the sites of modification of uridines to pseudouridines. This family includes human snoRNA ACA23 (SNORA23) and mouse snoMBI-1. ACA23 is predicted to guide the pseudouridylation of residue U3737 and U4331 of 28S rRNA.
Source: Rfam by way of RNAcentral